RNAcentral lists this long non-coding RNA (270 nucleotides) under Chelydra serpentina (North American snapping turtle). RNAcentral's name for it is "lncRNA (ENSCSRG00000016552.1)". The record is from RNAcentral. Lineage: Eukaryota; Metazoa; Chordata; Testudines; Chelydridae.
CGUGACAGCGUUUCGAGGCGGACAUAUAUACCGGUGGCACCGCCUCCUUCCUUCCUUUUGCUGAGCCGGCGUGUGCAGUGCGGUAGGGUUGUGGCUCGCCAUGAUACAUCAAGCAAGGUCUUCCUUCCCUGGUAACUACAAAACUGCAGACCAAGACCUGAUGCCACUUGCUAAGGUUUUAAUGGAGGAAGUUGGAAGCCCUAUAGAAGGAAGAUUCUCUGGCCUGGAAGGUGAAUCCUGACUAUGAAAGGCUGUGUUAAAUUGGCUUUG